This 261-nucleotide ribosomal RNA is filed under the name uncultured bacterium. Its description in RNAcentral is "partial 16S ribosomal RNA". It matches the Rfam family "Bacterial small subunit ribosomal RNA", at positions 524 to 776 of the family's 1533-position model. The record is from RNAcentral.
GACGUAGGGCGCGAGCGUUGUCCGGAUUUAUUGGGUACGGUAAAGAGCUCGUAGGCGGCUCGUUGUGUCAAAUCGUGAAAACCCGGGGGCUUAACUUCGGGCUUGCCGGUUGAUAACGGGCGGGCGUGGAGUUCGGUAGGGGAGACUGGAAUUCCUGGUGUAGCGGUGAAAUGCGCAGAUAUCAGGAGGAACACCGGUGGCGAAGGCGGGUCGCUGGGCCGAUACUGACGCUGAGGAGCGAAAGCGUGGGGAGCGAACAGG